RNAcentral lists this ribosomal RNA (253 nucleotides) under uncultured bacterium. RNAcentral's name for it is "partial 16S ribosomal RNA". It matches the Rfam family "Bacterial small subunit ribosomal RNA", at positions 524 to 776 of the family's 1533-position model. The record is from RNAcentral.
UACGUAGGGUGCAAGCGUUGCCCGGAUUUAUUGGGCGUAAAGGGCGCGUAGGCGGCUCGGCACGUCCGUUGUGAAAUCGCUCGGCUCAACUGGGCGGGGUCAGCGGAUACGGUCGAACUUGAGCAAGCUAGGGGGCAAUGGAAUUCCCGGUGUAGUGGUGGAAUGCGUAGAUAUCGGGAGGAACACCAGUGGCGAAGGCGGUUGCCUGGAGCUUUGCUGACGCUGAGGCGCGAAAGCGUGGGGAGCGAUCCGG